RNAcentral lists this ribosomal RNA (329 nucleotides) under uncultured bacterium. Its description in RNAcentral is "bacterial SSU rRNA". It matches the Rfam family "Bacterial small subunit ribosomal RNA", at positions 30 to 355 of the family's 1533-position model. The record is from RNAcentral.
AUUGAACGCUGGUGGCAUGCUUAACACAUGCAAGUUGCACGGCAGCAUGAUCUUGCUUGCAAGAUUGAUGGCGAGUAGCGGACGGGUGAGUAAAGCAUAGGGAUCUACCCUAAAGUGGGGGACAACGGAGGGAAACUUUCGCUAAUACCGCAUAAUACCUGUGGGUUAAAGUCUGCUUAGGCAGGCGCUUUAGGAUGAACCUAUGUCAGAUUAGCUAGAUGGUGGGGUAAAGGCCUACCAUGGCGACGAUCUGUAGCUUGUUCUGAGAGGAAGAUCAGCCACACGUGGGACUGAGACACGGCCCAGACCUCCGUACGGGAGCAGCAGGU